Molecule: non-coding RNA, 159 nt
Organism: Triticum aestivum (bread wheat)
Lineage: Eukaryota; Viridiplantae; Streptophyta; Magnoliopsida; Poales; Poaceae
Source: Rfam
UAACUACUCCCUCCGUCCGAAAAAGCUUGUCCCUCAAAUGGAUGUAUCUAGCACUACGAAAAAGCUUUUCCCUCAAAUGGAUGUAUCUAGCACCAAGUUAGUGCUAGAUACAUCCAUUUGAGGUGAGGGACAAGCUUUUUCGGACGGAGGGAGUAUUAA